CACUCCCCCAGGCAGGAUAGCGACGGCCUGUUCUCCUCCCCGUGCUUGUGACUUGCCCACCACCGGUAACUGCUCGCCCUCGCCCUCCACCAGCCCAGGAGCUUACCGUCGCCCGCACGGCUUGCUCCGACAGCUCAAGCCCCCAUGCACGAAGCCUCCUCUACUCAUGAAAACGACACAACCUCCACGCUGCCUCAGGAGCUGAUGUAGAGCAACGCCACUGGCGGUGGGGAGCACGUCGGCCAUUUGCGCCUCGGACGAGAUGGCAGUCGACCAGCGCGAGCCUCAGAGGACCGAUGCGGACGAAGACAAGCAGCGGCCGAAGCCGAUCGUGGCGGCGGCCGACGACAACAACGACACGGGGCCGAAGCGGAUCGAAGAAGGAGAACAGCUCGCCACGGACCCACUCGUCGUGCUGGUGGACACGAACCCGCAAGCCUCAGGGGCAGCUUGCUACGGCUCGGCGGGCGCUCAUCUCACCAGAUGCAAUGAUGCUUAUCAGUUCUCAAGGGGCAGUAAGUUUCGUGCGAAGCUCAAUACUCAACAGUUAGCAAAAUUGGUUAUUAGCUGGCCUUGGAGAAACUACGAUGUCUCAAAGUGCAGAUAGCACAAACUGGAUAUUAUGUUCUACUUUUCAUGCGUGAAUGGGAUGGUGAAAGGCUACGAGUACUAACUCGCCUGGAUGCAUGUGAACUGAGGAAGCGCUUUUUAAUACACCUACUAACGUAAAGGGGAACCAAUAUGCCUGCAACAUACAUGAAGUUCUACGAGAUUAUCUUGGAUGCUACAUUAGCCUCACAAAUGGAAAAGCAUGAAUUGUUAUAGCAUUCUCUAUCUCGAUGAUUGUAAGAAAAAAAUUGUAUUGGCACGUUUUUCCAUCAUCUUUGAUAUGUAUUUUGCUACUAAAAUUUGUGGUUUAAACAAUGUAUCUAUAUUUCUUACAA
Setaria italica (foxtail millet) is the source of this 944-nucleotide long non-coding RNA. RefSeq lists it as uncharacterized. The record is from RefSeq and is a predicted model, not a curated record. The transcript is spliced from 4 exons. NCBI's taxonomy places the organism in Eukaryota, Viridiplantae, Streptophyta, Magnoliopsida, Poales, Poaceae.